Molecule: ribosomal RNA, 2902 nt
Filed under: Klebsiella pneumoniae
Lineage: Bacteria; Pseudomonadati; Pseudomonadota; Gammaproteobacteria; Enterobacterales; Enterobacteriaceae
Description: 23S ribosomal RNA
Rfam family: Bacterial large subunit ribosomal RNA
Source: RNAcentral
GGUUAAGCGACUAAGCGUACACGGUGGAUGCCCUGGCAGUCAGAGGCGAUGAAGGACGUGCUAAUCUGCGAAAAGCGUCGGUAAGGUGAUAUGAACCGUUAUAGCCGGCGAUGUCCGAAUGGGGAAACCCAGUGUGAUUCGUCACACUAUCGUUAACUGAAUACAUAGGUUAACGAGGCGAACCGGGGGAACUGAAACAUCUAAGUACCCCGAGGAAAAGAAAUCAACCGAGAUUCCCCCAGUAGCGGCGAGCGAACGGGGAGCAGCCCAGAGUCUGAAUCAGCUUGUGUGUUAGUGGAACGGUCUGGAAAGUCCGACGGUACAGGGUGAUAGUCCCGUACACCAAAAUGCACAGGUUGUGAACUCGAAGAGUAGGGCGGGACACGUGGUAUCCUGUCUGAAUAUGGGGGGACCAUCCUCCAAGGCUAAAUACUCCUGACUGACCGAUAGUGAACCAGUACCGUGAGGGAAAGGCGAAAAGAACCCCGGCGAGGGGAGUGAAAAAGAACCUGAAACCGUGUACGUACAAGCAGUGGGAGCACCUUCGGGUGUGACUGCGUACCUUUUGUAUAAUGGGUCAGCGACUUAUAUUCUGUAGCAAGGUUAACCGUAUAGGGGAGCCGCAGGGAAACCGAGUCUUAACUGGGCGUUAAGUUGCAGGGUAUAGACCCGAAACCCGGUGAUCUAGCCAUGGGCAGGUUGAAGGUUGGGUAACACUAACUGGAGGACCGAACCGACUAAUGUUGAAAAAUUAGCGGAUGACUUGUGGCUGGGGGUGAAAGGCCAAUCAAACCGGGAGAUAGCUGGUUCUCCCCGAAAGCUAUUUAGGUAGCGCCUCGUGAAUUCAUCUUCGGGGGUAGAGCACUGUUUCGGCUAGGGGGUCAUCCCGACUUACCAACCCGAUGCAAACUACGAAUACCGAAGAAUGUUAUCACGGGAGACACACGGCGGGUGCUAACGUCCGUCGUGAAGAGGGAAACAACCCAGACCGCCAGCUAAGGUCCCAAAGUCAUGGUUAAGUGGGAAACGAUGUGGGAAGGCACAGACAGCCAGGAUGUUGGCUUAGAAGCAGCCAUCAUUUAAAGAAAGCGUAAUAGCUCACUGGUCGAGUCGGCCUGCGCGGAAGAUGUAACGGGGCUAAACCAUGCACCGAAGCUGCGGCAGCGACACUAUGUGUUGUUGGGUAGGGGAGCGUUCUGUAAGCCUGCGAAGGUGACCUGUGAGGGUUGCUGGAGGUAUCAGAAGUGCGAAUGCUGACAUAAGUAACGAUAAAGCGGGUGAAAAGCCCGCUCGCCGGAAGACCAAGGGUUCCUGUCCAACGUUAAUCGGGGCAGGGUGAGUCGACCCCUAAGGCGAGGCCGAAAGGCGUAGUCGAUGGGAAACAGGUUAAUAUUCCUGUACUUGGUGUUACUGCGAAGGGGGGACGGAGAAGGCUAUGUUAGCCGGGCGACGGUUGUCCCGGUUUAAGCAUGUAGGCUGAUUGUCCAGGCAAAUCCGGAUAAUCAAGGCUGAGGUGUGAUGACGAGGCACUACGGUGCUGAAGUAACAAAUGCCCUGCUUCCAGGAAAAGCCUCUAAGCAUCAGGUAACAUCAAAUCGUACCCCAAACCGACACAGGUGGUCAGGUAGAGAAUACCAAGGCGCUUGAGAGAACUCGGGUGAAGGAACUAGGCAAAAUGGUGCCGUAACUUCGGGAGAAGGCACGCUGGUGUGUAGGUGAAGUCCCUGCGGAUGGAGCUGAGACCAGUCGAAGAUACCAGCUGGCUGCAACUGUUUAUUAAAAACACAGCACUGUGCAAACACGAAAGUGGACGUAUACGGUGUGACGCCUGCCCGGUGCCGGAAGGUUAAUUGAUGGGGUUAUCCGUAAGGAGAAGCUCUUGAUCGAAGCCCCGGUAAACGGCGGCCGUAACUAUAACGGUCCUAAGGUAGCGAAAUUCCUUGUCGGGUAAGUUCCGACCUGCACGAAUGGCGUAAUGAUGGCCAGGCUGUCUCCACCCGAGACUCAGUGAAAUUGAACUCGCUGUGAAGAUGCAGUGUACCCGCGGCAAGACGGAAAGACCCCGUGAACCUUUACUAUAGCUUGACACUGAACAUUGAGCCUUGAUGUGUAGGAUAGGUGGGAGGCUUUGAAGCGUGGACGCCAGUCUGCGUGGAGCCAACCUUGAAAUACCACCCUUUAAUGUUUGAUGUUCUAACGUUGGCCCCUGACCGGGGUUGCGGACAGUGUCUGGUGGGUAGUUUGACUGGGGCGGUCUCCUCCCAAAGCGUAACGGAGGAGCACGAAGGUUAGCUAAUCCUGGUCGGACAUCAGGAGGUUAGUGCAAUGGCAUAAGCUAGCUUGACUGCGAGCGUGACGGCGCGAGCAGGUGCGAAAGCAGGUCAUAGUGAUCCGGUGGUUCUGAAUGGAAGGGCCAUCGCUCAACGGAUAAAAGGUACUCCGGGGAUAACAGGCUGAUACCGCCCAAGAGUUCAUAUCGACGGCGGUGUUUGGCACCUCGAUGUCGGCUCAUCACAUCCUGGGGCUGAAGUAGGUCCCAAGGGUAUGGCUGUUCGCCAUUUAAAGUGGUACGCGAGCUGGGUUUAGAACGUCGUGAGACAGUUCGGUCCCUAUCUGCCGUGGGCGCUGGAGAAUUGAGGGGGGCUGCUCCUAGUACGAGAGGACCGGAGUGGACGCAUCACUGGUGUUCGGGUUGUCAUGCCAAUGGCACUGCCCGGUAGCUAAAUGCGGAAGAGAUAAGUGCUGAAAGCAUCUAAGCACGAAACUUGCCCCGAGAUGAGUUCUCCCUGAGACUUUAAGUCUCCUGAAGGAACGUUAAAGACGAUGACGUUGAUAGGCCGGGUGUGUAAGCGCAGCGAUGCGUUGAGCUAACCGGUACUAAUGAACCGUGAGGCUUAACCUU